Molecule: ribosomal RNA, 458 nt
Filed under: Arthrobacter sp. LT37
Lineage: Bacteria; Bacillati; Actinomycetota; Actinomycetes; Micrococcales; Micrococcaceae
Description: bacterial SSU rRNA
Rfam family: Bacterial small subunit ribosomal RNA
Source: RNAcentral
UGCAGUCGAACGAUGAUCCCAGCUUGCUGGGGGAUUAGUGGCGAACGGGUGAGUAACACGUGAGUAACCUGCCCUUGACUCUGGGAUAAGCCUGGGAAACUGGGUCUAAUACCGGAUAUGACCGCUCUGACGCAUGUCAGGUGGUGGAAAGCUUUUGUGGUUUUGGAUGGACUCGCGGCCUAUCAGCUUGUUGGUGGGGUAAUGGCCUACCAAGGCGACGACGGGUAGCCGGCCUGAGAGGGUGACCGGCCACACUGGGACUGAGACACGGCCCAGACUCCUACGGGAGGCAGCAGUGGGGAAUAUUGCACAAUGGGCGCAAGCCUGAUGCAGCGACGCCGCGUGAGGGAUGACGGCCUUCGGGUUGUAAACCUCUUUCAGUAGGGAAGAAGCGAAAGUGACGGUACCUGCAGAAGAAGCGCCGGCUAACUACGUGCCAGCAGCCGCGGUAAUACGUA